CCCUGGCUGGCUCAGUUGGUAGAGCAUAUGACUCUUGAUCUUAGGGUUGUGAGUUCAAGCCCCACAUUGGGCA
Molecule: transfer RNA, 73 nt
Filed under: Felis catus (domestic cat)
Lineage: Eukaryota; Metazoa; Chordata; Mammalia; Carnivora; Felidae
Rfam family: tRNA
About the family: Transfer RNA (tRNA) molecules are approximately 80 nucleotides in length. Their secondary structure includes four short double-helical elements and three loops (D, anti-codon, and T loops).
Source: Rfam by way of RNAcentral